Molecule: ribosomal RNA, 193 nt
Filed under: uncultured Klebsiella sp.
Lineage: Bacteria; Pseudomonadati; Pseudomonadota; Gammaproteobacteria; Enterobacterales; Enterobacteriaceae
Description: partial 16S ribosomal RNA
Rfam family: Bacterial small subunit ribosomal RNA
Source: RNAcentral
UACGGGAGGCAGCAGUGGGGAAUAUUGCACAAUGGGCGCAAGCCUGAUGCAGCCAUGCCGCGUGUAUGAAGAAGGCCUUCGGGUUGUAAAGUACUUUCAGCGGGGAGGAAGGCGAUAAGGUUAAUAACCUUGUCGAUUGACGUUACCCGCAGAAGAAGCACCGGCUAACUCCGUGCCAGCAGCCGCGGUAAUA